GCUUCGGUGGUCUAGUUGGUUAGAGCGUCCGCCUCGGAUGCGGGAUGUUGUGGGUUCGAUCCUCAGCCGAAUUA
Molecule: non-coding RNA, 74 nt
Organism: Potamilus streckersoni
Lineage: Eukaryota; Metazoa; Mollusca; Bivalvia; Unionida; Unionidae
Source: the annotation of a GenBank genome assembly